AAAUACCCUUGAUUCAAUUAAAAUUUACAUGUUCUCUGCGCACUAAGCUAUAAUCGAUGUUCAGCCACUGUUGGUAAACUUUCCUCCUUCCUUCACUUAGGUUAACUUGUAUGCUCUGCUGACUCCUUCGAUUGAUCUUCUUCCUCCGCCACCGACUGUCCCAAACUCCCAAUUUUCACUUCCGUCACUGCCAUUGCUGCUACCGCUAGCUGCAUCUCGAGUUUCUUCACUUCCUCCCACUUCAACCACAGUCAUCGGUGCUACUGCUAGCUGCAUCUCCACCGCUUCCGCCAUCUCCACUUCAGCAACCUCCAAGAUCUUGUAGUGCUAAGGGCAGGUUGGGAAGAAAGGCAAGUUCCAAGGAAAGGCAGAGGAGCAAAGCUGCGAAAAAACAGAGCAAGGAAGGUUCAUCUGAAGAGCUGCCGGAACCGCCGCCGCUCAUAGCCGCCACCACCAUCCCGUCGGAAUCCACCACUGUCAUCCAUGAACCUUCACCGCGAGAGACCACUGUAAGUUAAUCUUCUCCAUUAUAUUUCAGUUUUCAUUCGAACAUAAGCUUUGAAAGAUUUCAGAGCAUGUUUGCUGAUGAACGUGCCAUGUCCGCCGUUAGCAUGUUGUUUCAAAUUUUACGUCGAUUGUUCGUGGCCUUUUCUGUGUGUUGAUUAGACUGUAUUCUUUUGGUUUUGCUGUAAAUUGUGGGGGCUGAAUAUAGAUUUAAUUGAGUAGAAGAUUAGUGAAAUUUGUGAUGCCCCUAACCUGUUCGACGAAAUGCCUGGCUGAAAAUUCUUAUUGAAAGAAGAUUCGUUUGCAUUUUUUCUUUCAUGUUAAAGAACCGGCUAAGUCCGCAGGUUCAUUUCCUCGCACCUGAGAAAUUUUGAUGUAUUGCAGUCUUGCAUUUUUUUGUUGUUGCUUUAUGCCUCCCAUCGUAUGAAUUUGAAUUGAAAUGGCAUGGGAAGGAUCUUGUGAUUUUCAUUUUGAUUGGAAAUGAUCAGACUUGAGCUUUUUGAUGUUCUGUCCACAGAGAGAAAAGACGACCCCAUUCCUAGGAUCAUGAUUUUGGUCCUUCAUUUUACUUUAUUAUUAUUAUUUUUAUUUAUUUAUCCCCCAAAGUUUUAAGAUUUUACAAUUCCCCCAAAGUUUUAAGAUUUUACAAUUUUAUAAUUUUUUGGAUUCUGAUAAUAAAAAUGCUUAAAAUGAAAUGGAGACAGUGCUAAGAGGCUUGAUAUUGCUCCAGAUCUUGUAGUAACUAUGGGAUAGUGGCAUUUAAGGAGACAUCUGUUUAAUUACUUAUUUUUUUGGGGGUGAAAACUGUGUUGACACUUGACAGUACAAGCUACUUAUUAUCAUUCCAUGGUCAUGUAUGUUCUUGUCAUUAUGAGCCUUGCUGUCCUCUUGUUUCUUGAAAAUAAUUACUACUCCUAACUUGUUUACUAGUAAUAGUAAUCUGUUUUGGGACUAAAGAAUGCUGCUCAUGUUCCUUUUUUUCUUUUGGCAUAGUUAAAAAAUAUUGAGAAUAUAAGAUGCAUACGUCCAACCAAGAGCAGUCUUCACCAAUUAAUAGAUCAGUUGGUGAUUCCGCUAGUCCGGUGAAUAUUUUUGACAAGGCUAUUGCUAUUAACAUUGAUGAAGAGCUGGAAUUAUCUCUUGGUGAUGAAGAAUUAGGGAGUGAAGAUGAAGCAUUAGAAGGUAAUACACAUACAACCACUCAAACAGUUGUGGAAGAAGCUGAUGCGGAUGAUGGCUUGGAUGUUUUUCGAAAAAAAAAGAGGAUAAAAAAAUCAGUAGCAUGGGAUGACUUCAAAGAUGUUGAAGUUGGCCAUCAAAAAAUUCUUAUGUCGGAGUGUAUUCAUUGCCAUGCAAAGUUCAAGAAGACGAAAACUAGUACAACUUCAAGUUUGCUGAGGCAUAGGAAGUCAUGUGCUAUCCGAUUGCAAAAACUCAAAAAAGCAACACAACAAACAAAGAUCAAUUUCCCAUCUGCUGAUUCUGCCGAAGCUUCUCAAACCUACCUUCACUCCGGGAGGUUUGAUAUGGCAGUCAUGAGAGAGGCUACUGCUGAAUGGGUGCUUAUGCAUGAGCAUCCAUUUUCAAUUGUGGAGGAAGAAGGCUUCAAUUUGAUGCAAAAAAGAGGGAUGCCGGAAUGGUAAAGAAUCAGUCGGACUAUGAACAAAAACGACUGCACAUCAGUUUAUGAAAGAGAGAAGACAAAAUUGAAGAACCAAUUAAAGAAAGUCAAGAAAAUUAGCUUGACUACAGAUCUUUGGAAGUCCAAGAACCAAAAAAAUGAGUAUAUGGUCAUAACCGGACAUUGGAUUGAUAGCAAUUGGAGAUUGCAGAAACGGGUUCUCAACUUUGUGCACGUCCCUCCUCCACGUCGGGGCAUCCAAAUUGCGGAUGCUAUUUUCAAGUGUUUAACGGAUUGGGGAAUUGAGAGCAAGAUUUAUACAGUCUCAGUCGAUAAUGCCUCGAAUAAUGACAGUGCACUGAGAUGUUUAAAGGACACUUUCUCCCGAAACAAGUGUCUAUUAGCAAAAGGAAAGUUGUUUCAUGUGAGAUGUUGUGCGCAUAUACUGAAUUUAAUGGUUCAAGAUGGACUCAGUCAAAUCAAGGAAAUAGUUGGAACAAUCAGGGACAGUGUGGAGUUUAUCAAUAAGACAGAUGAAAGACGCCUUCAAUUUGCUGAAAUUGUACGCCAGCUGCAGUUGCCAGAAAAAAUACUAAUUUAUGACUGCAAAACAAGGUUGAAUUCUACUUAUGAGAUGCUAACUUGUGCACUGGAGUUUCAAGAUGUUUUUCCCAGGUACAGAGAUAGAGAGCCAAAUUAUGAUUUCUGUCCAACUUUGGAAGAUUGGGAAAAGAUUACAAAAGUGUGCAAUAUUUUAAAAGCUUUUUGGACAGCAACUCAUGUGAUAUCUGGUAGUGAUUAUCCGACUGCAAAUUUAUAUCUAAAUGAAGUUUGUCGGAUUAAAGUACUACUAGAUAGUAAGGUUGAUGUUGAAGAUGAUUUUGUCCGGUCAAUGGUGCAAAAGAUGAAGUUGAAAUUUGAUAAGUACUGGGGAGAGUGUAACUUGUUAAUGUCUAUAGCAGCUGUUUUGGAUCCCAGAUGCAAGAUGAGAGUUAUAAACUAUUGUUUUCCAUUGCUUUAUCCUUCACAUGAAGUGCAAAGCAACAUAGGCAAGGUUCGACAAGCCUUGUAUGACCUAUAUGAUGAAUAUGUGGAGAUACAUGUUUCAGGCCAAAGUGGAUCAUCUUCUCAACUACUAGUCGGCAAUGAUCAUCCAACCAAGAGCAGCAGUAGUGCAUCUUCAUCAGUGUCCCAUGUUUCGGGUAUGAGUGAAUUUCUGACCCACAUUGCUACCGUUGAGAGUGUUCAACCCAUCAAGAAUGAGUUGGAUAUCUACUUUGAAGAUGGUCUCCUCACAGCUGCAGAUGAUUCAACGGUAGAUAUCGUGAAUUUGGAUGCCUUGAAGUGGUGGAAAGACAGAACAAAAUACAAGAUUCUUCCCAAGAUGGCUGCUGACAUUUUAGCCAUUCCAAUAAGCACUGUAGCUUCGGAAGCUACAUUUAGUGCUGGAACCAGAGUAAUCGACUCUUACCGUGCUUCCUUGGCUCCAAAAACUGUAGAAAUGUUGAUGUGUGCUGGAGAUUGGUGUCGUAAGGUACACGGGGUGAAGAAAAGGGAAAAGGUAACAAAAAAAAAUAAAAUUAUUACACAUAAUAUUUAAAUUCGGUCUUACAAUUUCUUAAUUUUUUUAUUUUAUUUUUUUGUUUUUUCAGAAAUUGAAGGAUAAACAAGAGAUUGUGUUGCCUAUUUCUUGACUUUGGAGAUGUUUGAGGUAAUUUACCUUUAAUUUCCUAUUUAGACUUUGGUUUUCUUUGAUUGGAAUUGUCAUAAAGAUGUGCUGAAAAUGAGGGUUUUGGUUGAAGAUGCAAAUGGUUGCUGUUUCCGUUUCUUAUGAGGUCUGCUUCAGUUGGUAUGUUUCAUUCUGUAUGAAAGGUUGUGCAAUGGAUUUAUUGGAAAGAUUUGAUCUUUUUCAGUUUGUUUGGGUGGUCUGUUUUGAGCUUCAAAGAUUGUUUUCAAGCAUGUUUAAGUAAAGCAGUCUUAAGUUCUUUUGUUGUAUGGUUGCUAUGCAAACUUUGUUUUUCUCAGUAUAUGGUUUCAAUCAUAGGAUAAUCUGCUUUUUGUCUUGGAUGUUAUUGAUGUAUUGGAUUGAUUAUGUAGUGAUUUUCUUGAAACUGCCAUUGGCUUGUUUUCUUUAGGCUCUGAAGUUUCGGUUGUACAGCUUUGCUUAUUAGUUAGGCGCUAUUUUAUAACAUCCGAAUACACAUGAUGCUUUUACACUAGUGUGUGGUUAUAUUUGUUGAGUUAUUGUGAUUGAUCCUUCUCAGUAUUUACAGUUUCAAUAGAAAGUCGUGAAAUUUGUUGAGUUGUUUGAAGUUAUCUGAUUUUCUUUUUUCGGGCAGGUUCUUCUGCAAAGAUAAUUAAUUUUUGCCGAAGUUUUUUUUUGCUUUCUCUGUAAAAUGGGUAGAGGGAGACUAAAACAGCUUAACGAAAUUGGGGCUGGACUUUCGUGCCUAUAUAUCUUUUCAAUUGGAUGUAUCAAGCUGUCUACAACAAAUAUUUUGUGUUGUAAAUUUGUGAUAGCUUGUAAUAUUUUGAGCUUUGGCUGAAAAAUUGGACUAAAAGACCUGUAUUUCCUCAUAUAAUUUCAUUUUAAUGAGUAUAUUUCUAUCUUUUGAAGUUCUUGAUGGAUUGAAGGAGCUCUUGCAUGUUGCCUGCAGGUUGGUUCGUAGAUCCAUUGCUGGCAUUAGGGAAGAUUACAAAGGUAACCUACUGAGACUGAAGGGAUGUGUCUUUUCAAAUAUGUGCUGAGAGCCUGAGACAAUGCUAAAUAUAUUCCUGAUCAGUGAAGUUAUCAUAAUUUGUAUUAAU
This 4933-nucleotide long non-coding RNA is filed under the name Coffea arabica (coffee). RNAcentral's name for it is "long non-coding RNA (CARA_LNC007568)". Lineage: Eukaryota; Viridiplantae; Streptophyta; Magnoliopsida; Gentianales; Rubiaceae. The record is from RNAcentral.